RNAcentral lists this transfer RNA (82 nucleotides) under Dreissena polymorpha. Its description in RNAcentral is "transfer RNA serine (anticodon UGA)". It matches the Rfam family "tRNA". From Rfam's summary of the family: Transfer RNA (tRNA) molecules are approximately 80 nucleotides in length. Their secondary structure includes four short double-helical elements and three loops (D, anti-codon, and T loops). The record is from Rfam by way of RNAcentral. Lineage: Eukaryota; Metazoa; Mollusca; Bivalvia; Myida; Dreissenidae.
GUUGUCGUGGCCCAGUGGUUAAGGCUAUAGACUUGAAAUCUUUUGGGAUCUUCCCGCGCAGGUUCGAAUUCUGCCAACAACG